This 393-nucleotide ribosomal RNA is filed under the name uncultured bacterium. RNAcentral describes it as "partial 16S ribosomal RNA". It matches the Rfam family "Bacterial small subunit ribosomal RNA", at positions 523 to 918 of the family's 1533-position model. The record is from RNAcentral.
AUACGGAGGAUCCGAGCGUUAUCCGGAUUUAUUGGGUUUAAAGGGUGCGCAGGCGGGAGAUUAAGUCGGCGGUGAAAUUUUGCAGCUCAACUGUAAAAGUGCCUUCGAUACUGGUUUCCUUGAGUGUGGAUGAAGUAGGCGGAAUUUGUGGUGUAGCGGUGAAAUGCUUAGAUAUCACGAGGAACUCCGAUUGCGCAGGCAGCUUACUAAACCACUACUGACGCUCAGGCACGAAGGCGUGGGGAUCAAACAGGAUUAGAUACCCUGGUAGUCCACGCAGUAAACGAUGAUUACUGGCUGUUUGCGAUACAAUGUAAGCGGCUGAGCGAAAGCGUUAAGUAAUCCACCUGGGGAGCACGUUCGCAAGAAUGAAACUCAAAUGAAUUGACGGGG